RNAcentral lists this ribosomal RNA (204 nucleotides) under Triticum aestivum (bread wheat). RNAcentral describes it as "partial small subunit ribosomal RNA". The record is from RNAcentral. Lineage: Eukaryota; Viridiplantae; Streptophyta; Magnoliopsida; Poales; Poaceae.
AUGGGUCGAUCCAGCCGACAUGGGCGAUUUGUCUGCCAGGGAGAAAGGAGAAGAGGCAAUCAUGCUUCAGUCUCUGUUCAGACAUUCAUAGCAGGUGAUGGGCCCGGUGAUGAUGGCGUUCUUCUGCAUGAACGUGAACCUGGUGUUCUUGAUGCGGAUGGUGAAACAGGCAACAACCGCAUAACCAACAACACGAGCAAGUGA